UACGGGGGGAGCAAGCGUUGUUCGGAUUUACUGGGCGUAAGGGCGCGUAGGCGGCGUGGCGAGUCACUUGUGAAAUCUCCGGGCUUAACUCGGAAAGGUCAACUGAUACUGUGCGGCUAGAGUGCGGAAGGGGCAACUGGAAUUCUUGGUGUAGCGGUGAAAUGCGUAGAUAUCAAGAGGAACACCUGCGGCGAAGGCGGGUUGCUGGGCCGACACUGACGCUGAUGCGCGAAAGCUAGGGGAGCGAACGGG
This 252-nucleotide ribosomal RNA is filed under the name uncultured bacterium. RNAcentral's name for it is "partial 16S ribosomal RNA". It matches the Rfam family "Bacterial small subunit ribosomal RNA", at positions 524 to 776 of the family's 1533-position model. The record is from RNAcentral.